GAAUAUUGGACAAUGGGGGCAACCCUGAUCCAGUCAUCCCGCGUGUAGGAAGAAGGCCCUAUGGGUUGUAAACUACUUUUAUCAGGAAAGAAAAUGCGUGAUUUUUCAUGCACUGACGGUACCUGAUGAAUAAGCACCGGCUAACUCCGUGCCAGCAGCCGCGGUAAUACGGAGGGUGCAAGCGUUAUCCGGAAUCACUGGGUUUAAAGGGUGCGUAGGCGGAUAGAUAAGUCAGAGGUGAAAUCUCCCAGCUUAACUGGGGAAUUGCCUUUGAUACUGUUUAUCUUGAAUUAUGUUGAGGUUAGCGGAAUGUGACAUGUAGCGGUGAAAUGCAUAGAUAUGUCAUAGAACACCAAUUGCGAAGGCAGCUAGCUAGGCAUAUAUUGACGCUGAGGCACGAAAGCGUGGGUAGCGAACAGG
RNAcentral lists this ribosomal RNA (420 nucleotides) under uncultured bacterium. RNAcentral's name for it is "bacterial SSU rRNA". It matches the Rfam family "Bacterial small subunit ribosomal RNA", at positions 359 to 776 of the family's 1533-position model. The record is from RNAcentral.